CCUACGGGAGGCAGCAGUAGGGAAUUUUCGUCAAUGGGCGCAAGCCUGAACGAGCAAUGCCGCGUGAACGAGGAAGGUCUUCGGAUCGUAAAGUUCUGUUGAAGGGGACAAAGAGCGGAGAGAGGAAAUGGUCUCCGAUUGAUAUUACUCUUCGAGGAAGUCACGGCUAACUACGUGCCAGCAGCCGCGGUAAUACGUAGGUGGCGAGCGUUAUCCGGAUUGAUUGGGCGUAAAGGGUGCGUAGGCGGCCUGCUACGUCUGGAGUGAAAGGUACCGGCUCAACCGGUAUAGGCUCUGGAAACUGGCGGGCUAGAGAGCAGGAGAGGGCGGUGGAACUCAAUGUGUAGCGGUAAAAUGCGUAGAUAUAUGGAAGAACACCAGUGGCGAAGGCGGCCGCCUGGCCUGUUACUGACGCUGAGGCACGAAAGCGUGGGGAGCAAAUAGGAUUAGAUACCCCGGUAGUC
RNAcentral lists this ribosomal RNA (464 nucleotides) under uncultured bacterium. RNAcentral describes it as "partial 16S ribosomal RNA". It matches the Rfam family "Bacterial small subunit ribosomal RNA", at positions 338 to 795 of the family's 1533-position model. The record is from RNAcentral.